GGCGGACGGGUGAGUAAUGUCUGGGAAACUGCCUGAUGGAGGGGGAUAACUACUGGAAACGGUAGCUAAUACCGCAUAACGUCGCAAGACCAAAGAGGGGGACCUUCGGGCCUCUUGCCAUCGGAUGUGCCCAGAUGGGAUUAGCUAGUAGGUGGGGUAACGGCUCACCUAGGCGACGAUCCCUAGCUGGUCUGAGAGGAUGACCAGCCACACUGGAACUGAGACACGGUCCAGACUCCUACGGGAGGCAGCAGUGGGGAAUAUUGCACAAUGGGCGCAAGCCUGAUGCAGCCAUGCCGCGUGUAUGAAGAAGGCCUUCGGGUUGUAAAGUACUUUCAGCGGGGAGGAAGGGAGUAAAGUUAAUACCUUUGCUCAUUGACGUUACCCGCAGAAGAAGCACCGGCUAACUCCGUGCCAGCAGCCGCGGUAAUACGGAGGGUGCAAGCGUUAAUCGGAAUUACUGGGCGUAAAGCGCACGCAGGCGGUUUGUUAAGUCAGA
This 499-nucleotide ribosomal RNA is filed under the name Escherichia coli. Its description in RNAcentral is "bacterial SSU rRNA". It matches the Rfam family "Bacterial small subunit ribosomal RNA", at positions 97 to 592 of the family's 1533-position model. Lineage: Bacteria; Pseudomonadati; Pseudomonadota; Gammaproteobacteria; Enterobacterales; Enterobacteriaceae. The record is from RNAcentral.